UACGUAGGUGGCAAGCGUUGUCCGGAUUUACUGGGCGUAAAGAGCGCGCAGGCGGUCGUUCAAGUCACGUGUGAAAGCCCCCCGGCUCAACUGGGGAGGGUCACGCGAUACUGAUCGACUGGAAGGCAGGAGAGGGUAGUGGAAUUCCCGGUGUAGUGGUGAAAUGCGUAGAUAUCGGGAGGAACACCAGUGGCGAAGGCGACUACCUGGACCGGAACUGACGCUGAGGCGCGAAAGCGUGGGGGAGCAAACAGGG
This 256-nucleotide ribosomal RNA is filed under the name uncultured bacterium. RNAcentral's name for it is "partial 16S ribosomal RNA". It matches the Rfam family "Bacterial small subunit ribosomal RNA", at positions 524 to 777 of the family's 1533-position model. The record is from RNAcentral.